GGCCUGGUGGCAGAGUGGUUAUGCACCGGACUGCAAAUCCGUUGAGAUGGGUUCGAUUCCCGUCCAGGCCUCCA
Molecule: transfer RNA, 74 nt
Filed under: Stenotrophomonas maltophilia
Lineage: Bacteria; Pseudomonadati; Pseudomonadota; Gammaproteobacteria; Lysobacterales; Lysobacteraceae
Also listed under: 13 other names
Description: tRNA-Cys
Rfam family: tRNA
About the family: Transfer RNA (tRNA) molecules are approximately 80 nucleotides in length.
Source: RNAcentral